GAUUCAAAUACUUUUUGACAAAUCUAUAAGUUGUAACAUCUCUCGUGUGCGUGACCUCCUUCAAGCUCAAAUCCAAUAAUUUGAUCUUAAAAUCCCCCUCUUCUCGUAAAUCAUAUGCACUAAAGCUCUGUAUUCCAUAUUAUAAUGUUUCAGCACAUUUUCAAUUCCAAGUCUAAAAGAAGCAUAUUUUCAAUUCCAUGAAAGAAUUGACGACUAUCACCAAAUGGUUGCAAUAUGACUCCAAUCCUAGUUUCCUAUGGAUCAAUAAAAUAGACUCUAGAGGAAACUUCAUUCUUUUUUUUUGGUCAACGAGGGAACUUCAUUCUUGUAACCUUGAUAAAAUGGUCAUGGAGCUGUAGUUUGGGCCUUUAUAACACAAUAUAAGAAUUUUUUAACACAAUAAGAAAAAGAAAAUGAAUGAUCAUAUGUAUAAUGAUGCAUAUGUAAAAAUGAAUGAUCGUUAUCAUGGCAAGUAUUUAAAAAUUGAGAUAUCAUAGGUAUACUUUCAGUUUUUAGACAAUUUAAGAAAACAAAAU
Molecule: long non-coding RNA, 536 nt
Filed under: Glycine max (soybean)
Lineage: Eukaryota; Viridiplantae; Streptophyta; Magnoliopsida; Fabales; Fabaceae
Description: long non-coding RNA (GMAX_LNC001839)
Source: RNAcentral